CAAAACAUAGCUUAACUUUAAAGCCCCUUGCUUACACCAAGAAGAUGUUAACUAAUCCUAACUGUUUUGAAG
This 72-nucleotide transfer RNA is filed under the name Eleutherodactylus glaphycompus (Southwest Haiti robber frog). RNAcentral's name for it is "tRNA-Val". The record is from RNAcentral. Lineage: Eukaryota; Metazoa; Chordata; Amphibia; Anura; Eleutherodactylidae.